CCGGGACCUGGACCGGGACCUGGACCGGGACCUGGACCGGGACCUGGACCUGGACGGCUCGCCCCGCGGGCGCUCGGCAGCCGCUUUGACUAAAAUAGGACAAUGCCUCCAUAUGAUCUUGGAAAACCAAUCUUCCAAAGGUAAAGCUCAGCUCUGUGAUUGGAUUAAACUUGUGUCUUGUGCAUAAAGAAAGCACACCCCUCCCAGAGACAGCGAGACACAGAGAGGGAGAGAAAGACUAUUGCAGCACUGCUCCACCCUUCGUGAGGUUUCCCUCUGCAGUUG
This is a long non-coding RNA of Erinaceus europaeus (western European hedgehog), 285 nucleotides long. RefSeq lists it as uncharacterized. Lineage: Eukaryota; Metazoa; Chordata; Mammalia; Eulipotyphla; Erinaceidae. The transcript is spliced from 3 exons. The record is from RefSeq and is a predicted model, not a curated record.